This 558-nucleotide ribosomal RNA is filed under the name uncultured bacterium. Its description in RNAcentral is "bacterial SSU rRNA". It matches the Rfam family "Bacterial small subunit ribosomal RNA", at positions 88 to 662 of the family's 1533-position model. The record is from RNAcentral.
GAGGACAGUGGCGGACUGGUGAGUAACGCGUGAGGAACCUGCCUUUCAGAGGGGGACAACAGUUGGAAACGACUGCUAAUACCGCAUGACGCAUUUUGAUCGCAUGGUCGAAAUGCCAAAGAUUUAUCGCUGAAAGAUGGCCUCGCGUCUGAUUAGCUAGUUGGUGAGGUAACGGCCCACCAAGGCGACGAUCAGUAGCCGGACUGAGAGGUUGACCGGCCACAUUGGGACUGAGAUACGGCCCAGACUCCUACGGGAGGCAGCAGUGGGGAAUAUUGGGCAAUGGGCGCAAGCCUGACCCAGCAACGCCGCGUGAAGGAAGAAGGCUUUCGGGUUGUAAACUUCUUUUAAGUGGGAAGAGCAGAAGACGGUACCACUUGAAUAAGCCACGGCUAACUACGUGCCAGCAGCCGCGGUAAUACGUAGGUGGCAAGCGUUGUUCGGAUUUACUGGGUGUAAAGGGCGUGCAGCCGGGCAUGCAAGUCAGAUGUGAAAUCUCAGGGCUUAACCCUGAAACUGCAUUUGAAACUGUAUGUCUUGAGUGCCGGAGAGGUAAUC